GAAACGUCCGAAAUCUGCUCUGAAACUUCGUCCCAGCUGAGUGCAACUUUCGUUCCAACCAGCUCCACGUUCGUUGUGGAGAUGGGACGAGAGCCGGACAAAUUCGUUUCGUCUCAAAUAUUAGCCUCAUAGUAUCCUGGGCGUUGUGUCUCUAGAAAGGACAAUUCUCGAGUGAAGGUGGAGGUCCAAAUGCAUUUCUCGACUGCGACGGACAACUGCCGUGGCUCAGGUCACGAGGCCAUUGAUGCUGGUUCCGGAGCUGUUUGAUAGUAACUGCAAAGUCUUAAGUCUCUGUAGACUGUAGAAUUGAGCUUUUCAGAACCACGUACCAGAAAAAGCUCCUUCAAAAAUUGUCGUAUGCUUCCAAGAUACUGCCACUGCUUAGCUUGGUCUUGGUUGCCGUCAUAUCCUGCUGCUCAGAGUCUCUCUGAAUUGCAUCCUUUAGUGAGAUGUUAAAUAUGUCACGAUAUCUUGGAGGAAUCCACUGUUCAAUCUGUCGUAACCUAUCCAUUCACACCUCAUGAUGGUAAAAAAGUUUUUAUUGACACAUUACC
RNAcentral lists this long non-coding RNA (554 nucleotides) under Physcomitrium patens. Its description in RNAcentral is "long non-coding RNA (PPAT_LNC010414)". Lineage: Eukaryota; Viridiplantae; Streptophyta; Bryopsida; Funariales; Funariaceae. The record is from RNAcentral.